RNAcentral lists this long non-coding RNA (421 nucleotides) under Nicotiana benthamiana. RNAcentral describes it as "long non-coding RNA (NBEN_LNC012026)". The record is from RNAcentral. Lineage: Eukaryota; Viridiplantae; Streptophyta; Magnoliopsida; Solanales; Solanaceae.
CUCACGGCCCGGCUGGCCUGCCAGCGGUAGUGGGAAUUCUCCCGUUCCCUGGUCAAGACUUGGUUGGAUGCGGGAUCUACUCCACGAGGAGCGGUACGGACGUAGAUGAUAUCAUCACGACCCCUCUUUUCGUACCGCUAGGGAUGCUUAACGCCACUUCGCCAACUGGCGUUACCUGCGCUUUCGUGUCUCUCAGUGUGGUCAGCACUGGGUGUUUCCGAGCAGCGAGGCUUACACCCAUUCGCAUUAGUUCAUCCAAGGUUCCUUACCCUUAUGCACGAAUUAUUGAAUAAGCCAUCUUCCUAUCAAGGUUAAGGAGUCAACUGAGCAUCUCAGCGGCGGGAUUGAAUACCCGGAUCGAAUCAGAGUUCACGCCGCCCGCCCUGAACAAAUAGGAGGCGUGGGCCACAGGUCGCACAUA